CGAUUAAGCCAUGCAAGUCGAACGAGUUUAGACUCGUGGCGUACGGCUCAGUAACACGUGGAUAACCUACCCUUAGGACCGGGAUAACCUUGGGAAACUGAGGAUAAUACUGGAUAGGCAAUUAUUCCUGUAAUGGUUUUUUGUUUAAAUGUUUUUUCGCCUAAGGAUGGGUCUGCGGCCGAUUAGGUAGUUGGUUAGGUAAUGGCUUACCAAGCCUUUGAUCGGUACGGGUUGUGAGAGCAAGAGCCCGGAGAUGGAACCUGAGACAAGGUUCCAGGCCCUACGGGGUGCAGCAGGCGCGAAACCUCCGCAAUGUGAGAAAUCGCGACGGGGGGAUCCCAAGUGCCAUUCUUAACGGGAUGGCUUUUCUUUAGUGUAAAAAGCUUUUGGAAUAAGAGCUGGGCAAGACCGGUGCCAGCCGCCGCGGUAACACCGGCAGCUCUAGUGGUAGCAAUUUUUAUUGGGCCUAAAGCGUCCGUAGCCGGUUUAAUAAGUCUCUGGUGAAAUCCUGUAGCUUAACUGUGGGAAUUGCUGGAGAUACUAUUAGACUUGAGACCGGGAGAGGUUAGAGGUACUCCCAGGGUAGAGGUGAAAUUCUGUAAUCCUGGGAGGACCGCCUGUUGCGAAGGCGUCUAACUGGAACGGUUCUGACGGUGAGGGACGAAAGUUAGGGGCGCGAACCGGAUUAGAUACCCGGGUAGUCCUAACUGUAAACGAUGCGGACUUGGUGUUGGGGUGGCUUUGAGCUGCUUCAGUGCCGAAGGGAAGCUGUUAAGUCCGCCGCCUGGGAAGUACGGUCGCAAGACUGAAACUUAAGAAUUGGCGGGGGAGCA
This 833-nucleotide ribosomal RNA is filed under the name uncultured archaeon. Its description in RNAcentral is "bacterial SSU rRNA". It matches the Rfam family "Archaeal small subunit ribosomal RNA", at positions 41 to 878 of the family's 1478-position model. The record is from RNAcentral.